This 261-nucleotide ribosomal RNA is filed under the name uncultured archaeon. RNAcentral's name for it is "partial 16S ribosomal RNA". It matches the Rfam family "Archaeal small subunit ribosomal RNA", at positions 748 to 1009 of the family's 1478-position model. The record is from RNAcentral.
UAGCCGUAAACGAUACUCGCUAGGUGUCGGCCACGGUGCGACCGUUGUCGGUGCCGUAGGGAAGCCGUGAAGCGAGCCGCCUGGGAAGUACGGCCGCAAGGCUGAAACUUAAAGGAAUUGGCGGGGGAGCACAACAACGGGUGGAGCUUGCGGUUUAAUUGGAUUCAACGCCGGAAAUCUUACCGGGACCGACAGCAACAUGAAGGCCAAGCUGAAGACUUUGCCGGAUUAGCUGAGAGGUGGUGCAUGGCGUAGUCGUGU